GACGAACGCUGGCGGCGUGCUUAACACAUGCAAGUCGAACGGAAAGGCCCUGCUUUUGUGGGGUGCUCGAGUGGCGAACGGGUGAGUAACACGUGAGUAACCUGCCCUUGACUUUGGGAUAACUUCAGGAAACUGGGGCUAAUACCGGAUAGGAGCUCCUGCUGCAUGGUGGGGGUUGGAAAGUUUCGGCGGUUGGGGAUGGACUCGCGGCUUAUCAGCUUGUUGGUGGGGUAGUGGCUUACCAAGGCUUUGACGGGUAGCCGGCCUGAGAGGGUGACCGGAGAACGUGGGGUGGGGCAGGCGCACAGCAUCGGGAGGGGUAGACGGGGGGGGAAGAUGCAGCGGUGGGAGGGAGCCAGACGGAGCAGCGGGCGGUGCUGGACCGGGGCGUUGGGGUUGCAAACCGCUUACGCCUGUAGCGAAGUGUGAGGGAAUGGGAUGGGAAAAGAAGCACCGGAAACCUACGGGCAGGCAGCGGCGGUAAUACGCGGGGCACACGUCUGAUC
RNAcentral lists this ribosomal RNA (506 nucleotides) under uncultured bacterium. Its description in RNAcentral is "partial 16S ribosomal RNA". It matches the Rfam family "Bacterial small subunit ribosomal RNA", at positions 36 to 538 of the family's 1533-position model. The record is from RNAcentral.